GCGUGUUUGUUUUGCAGGUACGAGGGUCGGAGGUGCUGACGUGGGAGGAGUAGUGGCUGAAGGCUUAAGGGGCUAGGGUUUUUUUGUUUGUUUUGUUUAGAUGUUGGGUUAAUUUGGCUAGGGUUUUGGUUUUUAAUUUGUAAAUGGACUGUUUAAAUUUUGACUUUUUAUUUUAUUUAUUUGGUUUGGGUUUAGUUUUGUAAUUGUGAUUUGGGCCUAGGCCAAAAUUGACCUAUUACAGCUGCCCCUCUUUGCUCAUUGUCAUGUAACGAGAAUGGAGCAAAGACUUUAAAAGGCCAAUUUUGUCUGGUCUUGCCGAAUCUUG
This 325-nucleotide long non-coding RNA is filed under the name Gossypium raimondii (Peruvian cotton). Its description in RNAcentral is "long non-coding RNA (GRAI_LNC004323)". Lineage: Eukaryota; Viridiplantae; Streptophyta; Magnoliopsida; Malvales; Malvaceae. The record is from RNAcentral.